RNAcentral lists this ribosomal RNA (483 nucleotides) under uncultured bacterium. RNAcentral's name for it is "bacterial SSU rRNA". It matches the Rfam family "Bacterial small subunit ribosomal RNA", at positions 32 to 508 of the family's 1533-position model. The record is from RNAcentral.
AUUGUAACGCUGGCGGCAGGCCUAACACAUGCAAGUCGAACGCGAAAGUCCUUCGGGAUGAGUAGAGUGGCGGACGGGUGAGUAACGCGUAGGAAUCUGUCCGGUAGUGGGGGAUAACGUUCCGAAAGGAACGCUAAUACCGCAUACGCCCUACGGGGGAAAGCGGGGGAUCUUCGGACCUCGCGCUAUCGGAGGAGCCUGCGUCGGAUUAGCUAGUUGGUAGGGUAAAGGCCUACCAAGGCGACGAUCCGUAGCUGGUCUGAGAGGAUGAUCAGCCACACCGGAACUGAGACACGGUCCGGACUCCUACGGGAGGCAGCAGUGGGGAAUAUUGCGCAAUGGGGGCAACCCUGACGCAGCCAUGCCGCGUGUGUGAAGAAGGCCUUCGGGUUGUAAAGCACUUUCAGAGGGGAGGAAAGGGCGCUGGCUAAUAUCCAGCGCAGUUGACGCUACCCUCAGAAGAAGCACCGGCUAAUUCCGUGC